GGUAGUUGGACUCUUUUUGGACUCUCCCUCUGGAUACAUCUUGCGGUCCCCACUGGCAGACGGAAGAUUUGGCCACUGGAAACCUGCCGCUGUGUCACUCAAGAGCCAUACUCCGCUUUGGAGUUUCAUUUCAUGUGAUGGGGAAAACUGGGUUUCUUCCUCUUGGCUACAAAGCUGCCUACAAGAGUUCUUAGAGUGUUUCAAGACAGCGGAGUGUAACCAACAACAAGAAUUCCCAGAGCCACAAAGAUGGAAGUAGAGGAAUAAGCCAGUUUAAGCUACAUGUCACCAGUGAGGAUAGGAAAUAUCACUGUUUGGAUGUCCAUCAAGCCUUGGCAUUCUAUCUACAAAGGACAAAAUCCUUUAGGAAAUCACCUAGACUGUUGUAUCCUUUGUGGGAGGUGUGAGAGUGGAAACAAUCUCUUCUCAAAGACUUUCCCUAUACAGGUAGGGACCACACAUCUCAAAGAAUUCCAGUUACU
Caretta caretta (loggerhead turtle) is the source of this 482-nucleotide long non-coding RNA. RefSeq lists it as uncharacterized. NCBI's taxonomy places the organism in Eukaryota, Metazoa, Chordata, Testudines, Cheloniidae. The record is from RefSeq and is a predicted model, not a curated record.